AUGAACGCUGGCGGCGUGCCUAAUACAUGCAAGUCGAGCGAACGGACGAGAAGCUUGCUUCUCUGAUGUUAGCGGCGGACGGGUGAGUAACACGUGGAUAACCUACCUAUAAGACUGGGAUAACUUCGGGAAACCGGAGCUAAUACCGGAUGAUAUUUUGAACCGCAUGGUUCAAAAGUGAAAGACGGUCUUGCUGUCACUUAUAGAUGGAUCCGCGCUGCAUUAGCUAGUUGGUAAGGUAACGGCUUACCAAGGCAACGAUGCAUAGCCGACCUGAGAGGGUGAUCGGCCACACUGGAACUGAGACACGGUCCAGACUCCUACGGGAGGCAGCAGUAGGGAAUCUUCCGCAAUGGGCGAAAGCCUGACGGAGCAACGCCGCGUGAGUGAUGAAGGUCUUCGGAUCGUAAAACUCUGUUAUUAGGGAAGAACAUAUGUGUAAGUAACUGUGCACAUCUUGACGGUACCUAAUCAGAAAGCCUCGGCUAACUACGUG
This 496-nucleotide ribosomal RNA is filed under the name uncultured bacterium. RNAcentral's name for it is "partial 16S ribosomal RNA". It matches the Rfam family "Bacterial small subunit ribosomal RNA", at positions 29 to 507 of the family's 1533-position model. The record is from RNAcentral.